CCUCUUCUUAAUAAUGACGAUGCACUAUCCUUAAAGUAGAUCCACCUUCCUUGAAGGCAAGCUUGAUGCACUAGGGAGCUAAUGGUCUACUUCCAAGAUUCAACAAACAAUGGAUCUCACCUUGGGUGCACUUUGGAUAUGAGAAUUAUACAGCCUGGGUUUUUAACAAAUCCUCCAGAUAGGUGCAGAAAAUACAACCACAAUGAUAGUGAAGAUGGAUGCUGG
Molecule: long non-coding RNA, 225 nt
Filed under: Vitis vinifera (wine grape)
Lineage: Eukaryota; Viridiplantae; Streptophyta; Magnoliopsida; Vitales; Vitaceae
Description: long non-coding RNA (VVIN_LNC005375)
Source: RNAcentral